Molecule: ribosomal RNA, 238 nt
Filed under: uncultured bacterium
Lineage: Bacteria
Description: partial 16S ribosomal RNA
Rfam family: Bacterial small subunit ribosomal RNA
Source: RNAcentral
CCGGCGCACGGGUGAGUAACGCGUAUCCAACCUGCCUUACACUCUUGGACAGCCUUCUGAAGGGAGAUUAAUACAAGAUGUUAUCAUGAGUAAGCAUUUUCACAUGAUUAAAGGUUUACCGGUGUAAGAUGGGGAUGCGUUCCAUUAGAUAGUAGGCGGGGUAACGGCCCACCUAGUCUUCGAUGGAUAGGGGUUCUGAGAGGAAGGUCCCCCACAUUGGAACUGAGACACGGUCCAA